AUAUAUUAAUGACAGAAGAUCUUACACAAAUCCCACAUCUUAGUUUUAAGAUUUUCACUUUCCCGUAACACAUGUUGCUUAUACUAAGUUUUAUACAAUACUCACGUCCUCACUACCGUAUCACAUUAUUACAUUAAUAUGCUCUAAUAAUUUUCUUUAUACACUAACCAUUGUUAAGAUAUGAAAAUGGUUUGAGAGAUUUAUAAAUAAAGUACAUAAAUUUUUAAAAAUGGUUAAUUUGGUUAGUGUGAGACCCUUGAUAAUUAGCAAUGAUAAUUUCUGUCACAUUACCAUUAAUGCACGCCACUUCAAUGCUCAGCCAUUAAAACCCUCUCCCUAAUUUGAAACUCCACUGCCAAGUGUCACAAAUAGGGGAAUUCUGAAAAUGCUAGUGGAAGGCAGGUGUCCGUGUAUCAGAGGACGUCCGCUUGACUUGGGAAGAAAACCAAUUUCUGAAAAAUCUUCUUCCCACUCUCUGCAUGCACGAACGCCACCUGUCACGUUAGAAGUUUCUGAAAUCAGAAGUGGGAGUGCAGGUGUCAGCUUGGGAGACGCUCGUCCGUUUUGACGUGGAAUCAACAAAACUGAGUUUUGAAAAACUCUCUCUCUCUCACCUGCACGCACAUUUCAUCUCCCUCUGAACCUAACCCUUCAUUUUCUCCACCUUCUCUCUAGAACUCCCAACUUCUCUCUACUGUAAAUCUCACGCCUCUCCUCCGAUCACAUUUCAGAACCGUAGGAAAGUUCUCGGAGACGCGGACGUUAUUUUGGACCGAACAGAAUUAGGAUCUAAGCUGGUAAGUCCUCUCCUCCAGUCGUUGUCCAUUAGGUUUCAUGCGAAACCAUGUUCUGGGUUCAUGCAUGGGUGAAAUCUGAGUUAUGUUUGAUUCUGGUGUAUAGAUUAAGUGAAAGUUAGUAAGUGGACCUUGGAGUAGAACGCUGUUAAAGGACGCACCAUACCCCUGCUUUAGGACAUUUCACAUAUUGAUCCGGAAGGCGAGGCCACCCUAGAGGAUGUGAUCGAAGAAGAAAACUUGGUUGAAGUGGAAGUGAAAGCGGAGCAGUAGGACGUCCGUCUUUCGUUUUGAUUAGAGCGCUCGUAGAUGUUAGGUUGUAAAUGUUAGCUUAUUUGGACGUUCGGUUAAUUCUUUUGUAAAACCGUUAGUUCUAGUUUACUUUCCUGUUUCUGUGUUACGCUCGGUAUUUUUGUAUCCAAGCCGUUCGACUUUUGAACCUUGAGCUCUGUUAUUUAUAUAAAGACUGCAUUGAUUUACUGUUAA
Long non-coding RNA from Vigna angularis (adzuki bean), 1280 nucleotides. RefSeq lists it as uncharacterized. Lineage: Eukaryota; Viridiplantae; Streptophyta; Magnoliopsida; Fabales; Fabaceae. The record is from RefSeq and is a predicted model, not a curated record. The transcript has 2 exons.